Molecule: ribosomal RNA, 469 nt
Filed under: uncultured bacterium
Lineage: Bacteria
Description: partial 16S ribosomal RNA
Rfam family: Bacterial small subunit ribosomal RNA
Source: RNAcentral
GGACGAACGCUGGCGGCGUGCUUAACACAUGCAAGUCGAACGGUGAAGCUCCAGCUUGCUGGAGUGGAUCAGUGGCGAACGGGUGAGUAACACGUGAGCAACCUGCCCCUGACUCUGGAAUAAGCGCUGGAAACGGCGUCUAAUACUGGAUACGAGAAGGGUCCGCAUGGGCACUUUCUGGAAAGUUUUUCGGUUGGGGAUGGGCUCGCGGCCUAUCAGCUUGUUGGUGAGGUAAUGGCUCACCAAGGCGACGACGGGUAGCCGGCCUGAGAGGGCGACCGGCCACACUGGGACUGAGACACGGCCCAGACUCCUACGGGAGGCAGCAGUGGGGAAUAUUGCACAAUGGGCGAAAGCCUGAUGCAGCGACGCCGCGUGAGGGAUGACGGCCUUCGGGUUGUAAACCUCUUUCAGCAGGGAAGAAGCGAAAGUGACGGUACCUGCAGAAGAAGCACCGGCUAACUACGUG